RNAcentral lists this ribosomal RNA (466 nucleotides) under uncultured bacterium. Its description in RNAcentral is "partial 16S ribosomal RNA". It matches the Rfam family "Bacterial small subunit ribosomal RNA", at positions 28 to 507 of the family's 1533-position model. The record is from RNAcentral.
GAUGAACGCUGGCGGCGUGCUUAACACAUGCAAGUCGAACGGAAAGGCCCAAGCUUGCUUGGGUACUCGAGUGGCGAACGGGUGAGUAACACGUGGGUGAUCUGCCCUGCACUUCGGGAUAAGCCUUGGAAACUGGGUCUAAUACCGGAUAGGACCACAUUUUGGAUGGUGUGGUGGAAAGUUUUUCGGUGUGGGAUGAGCUCGCGGCCUAUCAGCCUGUUGGUGGGGUAAUGGCCUACCAAGGCGUCGACGGGUAGCCGGCCUGAGAGGGUGUACGGCCACAUUGGGACUGAGAUACGGCCCAGACUCCUACGGGAGGCAGCAGUGGGGAAUAUUGCACAAUGGGCGCAAGCCUGAUGCAGCGACGCCGCGUGGGGGAUGACGGCCUUCGGGUUGUAAACUCCUUUCGCUAGGGACGAAGCGUUAUGUGACGGUACCUGGAGAAGAAGCACCGGCUAACUACGUG